GUAACGGCGAGUGAACGGAGAUUAGCCCAGCACCGAAGCCUAUCCGCGUUUGUGGACAGGGCAAUGUGGUGUUUAAGCGUGUGCCUUUGAACCGCUCGUCUACUCGAAGUCCAACUCCGAUUAUGGCAUUGGAUAUUGUCCUUAGAGGGUGAUAGACCCGUCCGAGUAGAUGUGUAUUCAUGAUUGAGCGGCUCUUAGAUGCAUGCGCUUUGGAGUCGGAUUGCUUGAGAAUGCAGUCCAAAGUGGGUGGUAAACUCCAUCCAAGGCUAAAUACUGGCACGAGUCCGAUAGUAAACAAGUACCGUGAGGGAAAGUUGAAAAGUACUCUGAAGAGAGAGUAAAUAGUACGUGAAGCCGCCUGUAGGGAAGCUGGUGGAGUCAAGCUCUGUGCCUGAAUGAUUAAUUAUGAGUGAGUUGUAUUGUAUUUGGCAUUGUUGAUCGAUGGAUCUGGAAAUGUUUCGAUGGGUUCGCGCUCAUUCAAAGCAUUACUGGUCAGUAUGUUUUGGUCGGUCAAACAGUGUGUCCUCACUUGUGUUCUAUCAUCAGGCUGCCAUCACGGUUGGUACAUGCUUUGGUGUAUGGCUUCCAAACUGUGCUCAUGUGGGCCUUCAAGUCUGCUGGGUACAGGAUGGCAGGUCACUGUGUAUGUUGGCCUUGUGUCGGCGUUGCAGUGCAAAGAUUAAAGCCGGGAGCCAUUUGCUGUUUGUUUUACUAUUGCAUGUACCAUUUCAUGGUGCUGGCCGUGUCCAUAUCAAUUGGUAGCGGUCAGUGAG
This 773-nucleotide ribosomal RNA is filed under the name Urocleidoides vanini. Its description in RNAcentral is "partial large subunit ribosomal RNA". It matches the Rfam family "Eukaryotic large subunit ribosomal RNA", at positions 83 to 633 of the family's 3401-position model. The record is from RNAcentral. Lineage: Eukaryota; Metazoa; Platyhelminthes; Monogenea; Dactylogyridea; Dactylogyridae.